UACGGGUAAAACCUAAAACUCAAAAGACUUGACGGUGUUCCAAUCUACCUAGAGGAGCCUGUUCUAUAAUCGACAACCCCCGAUACACCAAACCACUUUUUGAACCAUCAGCCUAUAUACCGCCGUCAAAGUUUACCUUUUAAAAGACUAAAAGUGAGCUAAAUAGUAAGACACUAAUAAAUCAGGUCAAGGUGUAGCACAUGAGGUGGAAGGAAAUGGGCUACAUUAUUUAUAAUAAAUAAACAGAUGAUUAUACUUUGAAAAAGAAUAUAAAGUUGGAUUUAGUAGUAAUUUAAAUAAGAAUAUUUAAAUUAAUAAUAGCUCUGGAACAUGUACACACCGC
This 343-nucleotide ribosomal RNA is filed under the name Echinosaura centralis. Its description in RNAcentral is "Echinosaura sp. JMD-2019a partial small subunit ribosomal RNA". Lineage: Eukaryota; Metazoa; Chordata; Lepidosauria; Squamata; Gymnophthalmidae. The record is from RNAcentral.